GGUCACUGCUAUUGGGAUUCGAUUAAGCCAUGCGAGUCGAGAGGGUUCGGCCCUCGGCUGACGGCUCAGUAACACGUAGAUAAUCUGCCCUUAGGUGGAGGAUACCCUCGGGAAACUGAGAAUAAUACUCCAUAGGUCUAGGAUGCUGGAAUGCACUUAGACUGAAAAUUCCGGUGCCUAAGGAUGAGUCUGCGGACUAUCAGGUUGUAGUCAGGGUAAAGACCUGACUAGCCUAUGACGGAUACGGGUUGUGAGAGCAAUAACCCGGAGAUGAUAUCUGAGACACGAUAUCAGGCCCUACGGGGCGCAGCAGGCGCGAAAACUUCACAAUGUGCGAAAGCACGAUGAGGGAAUCCCAAGUGCUUGCACGUAAGUGCAAGCUGUUUCUAUGUCUAAAACACAUAGAGAGUAAGGGCUGGGUAAGACGGGUGCCAGCCGCCGCGGUAAUACCUGCAGCUCAAGUGGUGGCCGCUAUUAUUGGGCCUAAAACGUCCGUAGCCGGUUUAAUAAAUGCCUGGGUAAAUUGUAUAGCUUAACUAUACGAAUUCCGGGUAGACUGAUAAACUUGAGACCGGGGGAAGUUAGAGGUACUCCUGGGGUAGAGGUGAAAUUCUGUAAUCCUAGGGGGACCACCGGUGGCGAAGGCGUCUGACUAAAACGGGUCUGACGGUGAGGGACGAAGCCCUGGGGCGCAAACGGGAUUAGAUACCCCGGUAGUCCAGGGUGUAAACGCUGCUUGCUUGAUGUUAGUCGGGCUUCGAGCCCGAUUAGUGUCGGAGAGAAGUUGCUAAGCAAGCUGCCUGGGAAGUACGGCCGCAAGACUGAAACUUAAAGGAAUUGGCGGGGGAGCACAGCAACGGGUGGAGCGUGCGGUUUAAUUGGAUUCAACGCCCGGGAAUC
This 900-nucleotide ribosomal RNA is filed under the name uncultured archaeon. RNAcentral's name for it is "bacterial SSU rRNA". It matches the Rfam family "Archaeal small subunit ribosomal RNA", at positions 21 to 926 of the family's 1478-position model. The record is from RNAcentral.